GACGAACGCUGGCGGCGUGCUUAACACAUGCAAGUCGAACGGAAAGGCCCUGCUUUUGUGGGGUGCUCGAGUGGCGAACGGGUGAGUAACACGUGAGUAACCUGCCCUUGACUUUGGGAUAACUUCAGGAAACUGGGGCUAAUACCGGAUAGGAGCUCCUGCUGCAUGGUGGGGGUUGGAAAGUUUCGGCGGUUGGGGAUGGACUCGCGGCUUAUCAGCUUGUUGGUGGGGUAGUGGCUUACCAAGGCUUUGACGGGUAGCCGGCCUGAGAGGGUGACCGGCCACAUUGGGACUGAGAUACGGCCCAGACUCCUACGGGAGGCAGAAGUGGGGAAUAUUGCACAAUGGGCGGAAGCCUGAUGCAGCAACGCCGCGUGCGGGAUGACGGCCUUCGGGUUGUAACCCGCUUUCGCCUGUGACGAAGCGUGAGUGACGGUAAUGGGUAAAGGAGCACCGGCUAACUACGUG
Molecule: ribosomal RNA, 468 nt
Filed under: uncultured bacterium
Lineage: Bacteria
Description: partial 16S ribosomal RNA
Rfam family: Bacterial small subunit ribosomal RNA
Source: RNAcentral